Molecule: RNA transcript, 5041 nt
Organism: Diospyros lotus (date-plum)
Lineage: Eukaryota; Viridiplantae; Streptophyta; Magnoliopsida; Ericales; Ebenaceae
Gene name: zinc finger protein BRUTUS-like At1g74770
Exons: 14
Source: RefSeq, a predicted model, not a curated record
AAACCAGAGAGAGGGAGAGAGAGAGGGGUUGAGAACCAAAACAGUGUCGUCGAUAAAUUCAGUGGAGUUCCGAUUUCCGAACCUCUCGCUCCUCCGGACCUCUGCCGUUGAUGGUGGUGCGUGGUGGAGCUGCGUUGAAUGGGGCGCAGCCGCGAACCGGAAUGCCCGCCGGAAAAGGAGCAACCAUCGCUUCAGCCGCUCUCCAGCGUCAAGCUCUGGGAUGCUCCGAUUCUGUUGCUCGUUUACUUCCACAAAGCGUUUCGGGCGGAGCUCGCCGACCUCCACAGGAUGGCCCUGGCGGCGUUAGAGAGGGGCUCCGGCAGCCGCGACCUGAUCCUCGACCUCCGUGGGAGGUUUGAGUUCUUCAAGUUAGUGUACAAGUAUCAUACUGCUGCAGAGGAUCAGCUAAUCUUUCUAGCCCUUGAUUUCCAAGUAAAAAACGUGGUUUGUACAUACAGUCUUGAGCAUAAAGGCAUAGAUGACCUUUUCGAUCCUGUUUCUGAUUGCCUGAAUGUUUUAACUGGGAGAGAAGGAAACACUUCAAAGCAAUUUCAAGAACUUGUAUUUUGUAUUAGCACCAUUCAGACUUCAAUUUGCCAGCAUAUGCUGAAAGAAGAAAAGCAGGUUUUACCUUUGCUGAUGCAGCAAUUCUCUUCCGAAGAACAAGCUCUACUUAUCUGGAGGCUUUUGUGCUGUGUUCCUAUAUUGCUGAUGCAGGAGUUUUUGCCAUGGUUGACUUCGUUCCUUUCCCUAGAUGAACAAGAGGAGAUUCUGCAUUGUAUCAGGGAAGUCAUUCCUAGGGAAAGGCUACUGCAAGAGGUUGUGCUUUCGUGGCUUCAUAACAAGAAUCCAUCUUCAGCAGUGGUCAAAAAUGAAAUUGAAAAAGGAGCUCAGAUUACUGAUUUCCAAGCAAGUACAAAGAAUGUGUUUGAGGUGCAUGCAUCAAUGACCUUUCAUGGAGAAAAAUGGUGGGAAGAGAAAGCAUCUUGCAAGACAAUUUUUAGGCACACUCCAAUUCAUGGUCUUCAUCUUUGGCAUGGUGCUCUCAGAAAAGAUCUCAAAGGAAUUUUGAAGGAACUGUAUCAAAUAAGAAGCUCAAACAGCUUUCUAACUCUAGAUUCUGCAAUUAUCCAGCUAAAAUUUCUCAUGGAUGUCGUUAUCUACUAUAGCAUUGCAUUGGAUAAAGUUUUUGACCCUGUAGUGAAUGAAUUUGCCGAUGGCUUCUCAUUUCAUUUCAAGGGUAGAGUUAAAAAUGAAAAUCAACUUGAAGGUUUACAGAGGUUGCUAUAUGAUAAGGUUCAAGAUGAGAAGAUGCCUCUGUGCAAUUUUGUGGAGGAACUUUGCAGGGAAUUGGAAUUAUAUGUGAUUGGAAUCAGCGAACACUUGGUUUUGCUAGAAACAGAGGUAUUCCCAUUGAUUAUCAACUUCACUCAUGAAUUUCAGAAGUGGCUACUAUACCAAAGUGUUUAUAUUAUGCCACUUGGGCUGCUGAAGUACACAAUUAGUUGGUUCUCUGCCCAUUUAUCCGAGGAAGAUUGCAACUCCAUCCUGAAUAGCUUAAAGCAGAGAAGUCCUCUAGACAACACUGGAGCCUUUUCAGUUCUCUUGUAUGAGUGGGUACGCAUGGGUUAUUCAGGAAAAACCUCGAUUGACAAAUUUAGAAAAGACUUACAGGAGAUGUACAAGAGCAGAAGCUCUUUCCUGAUUGAGCUUGUCCAAGAGGACUAUGCUUUUUGUUCCUUAAUUCUAAAAACCAGGCCUUGCAACAAAUUUAACCCCAUUUCAAAACAACCACAUAUGUCUACCAAAUCCAAGGGAUGUAGACCUAAUCAUUCAUCUUCUGAUGGUAGCACUACUCAAAAGUAUGGCAUAUCAUGUACUGGUAGGAUCAGUAUAUGUAUAUUCUCCCCUAAAUCAAUAAGGACUUUAUCUCCUUUUCCAAAAUUUCCUACUGAGAAUAGUGAAGCUAGUUCCAUGCUCAAUCUUGAACCGAGACCAGUGGAUCACAUCUUUUACUUCCAUAAAGCUCUCAGAAAAGAUUUGGAGUAUCUUGUCAAUGUUUCAGCAAAGCUGGGUGAAAAUGUUGGAGACCUAGUGGAUUUCCAUAGACGAUUCAAACUUGUACAAUUUCUAUAUCAAGUUCAUAGUGAUACAGAGGAUGAGAUAGCUUUUCCAGCUCUGGAGGCAAAGGGACAGGCCAGAAACAUUAGCCAAUCCUAUACUAUUGACCACAAACUGGAAGCUGACCUCUUCAACAAGAUUUCUCUUACCCUGGAUGAGAUUUCUGGGUUACAUGUUUCAGAUUAUAGUGUUGACAUGGAUGUAUUGGAUCAAUAUCAUCGGCUAUGUUUGAAGCUCCAUGAUCAGUGCAAGUCUAUGUGUAAGGUCCUAACCAGCCAUGUCAACCGUGAAGAAAUUGAGCUUUGGUCGUUAUUUAGAGAAUGCUUCUCUAUUGAGGAACAAGAAAAGAUCAUAGGAAGCAUACUUGGAAGAACAAGAGCUGAAACCCUACAAGAAAUGAUUCCCUGGCUCAUGGCAUCUUUGACACCAGAAGAACAACAGGUCAUGAUGUCCUUGUGGCAUAAGGCUACCAAGAAUACGAUGUUUCGUGAAUGGUUACAGGAAUGGUGGGAAGGCAUGAAAAGGUAUGAUAUAGCUAAGGUGGAACAUGAAUCUAAUAUUUCUCCUUCUUGGACUGCUGACCCACUACAAUUUCUCUCAAAUUAUCUGUCAAGUGAAGGCUUUGGCAAUCAAGAUCGGACAAUACAUGAAGAAGAUGCUAAAAUUCUUCAAUAUAAUUUUGUUGAUUUGGACAUUGAUUUGUCUGGAAAACACAAUAUCGAUGACAAAGGAAAUGUCUCAAGUGGAAACCUCAAUAAUCUCCAAUUUUCAGAUUGUUCUGAAUUUUCAUGUGAGGUUGAUAAGAAGAGAUUAAAGGAAUUAGCAGGGCUCACAAAGCAACCUGAUGAACCUAUACAGAAUAUGCAGGUCAAUCAGGACUUCAGACAUCAGGAGCAACUUCCUGUGAUGAGUCAAGAAGAACUGGAGGCUGCAAUAAGAAAAAUAUCCCGCAACUCCAAUCUGGAUCCUCAAAAGAAAUCAUAUAUUAUCCAGAACCUUCUAAUGAGCCGCUGGAUUAUGACACAACAAAAACCUCAUGCAGAAGUUCCUGUCUCAAGUAAAAAGGAAGAAGUUUCAGGUCAGUGUCCAUCUUACAGGGAUCCACUUAAAUUAACAUUUGGUUGCAAACACUACAAGAGAAACUGCAAGCUAGUUGCUGCUUGUUGCAACAAGAUUUAUGCAUGCAGACUUUGCCAUGAUGAUGAGUCUGAUCACUCAAUGGAUAGGAAGGCUACUACUAAGAUGAUGUGUAUGAAAUGUUUGGUGAUUCAACCAAUAGGCCCCACCUGCUCAACUGACACUUGCGAUAAGUUAUCAAUGGCCAGAUACUACUGCAGGAUCUGCAAAUUCUUUGAUGACGAGAGGGAUAUUUACCACUGCCCGUACUGUAACCUGUGUCGAGUUGGGAAAGGAUUGGGCAUUGACUAUUUCCAUUGCAUGAAUUGCAAUGCUUGCAUGUCAAGGUCUCUUUCAGUGCAUAUAUGUAGAGAGAAGUGCUUUGAGGAUAACUGCCCAAUAUGCCACGAGUUCAUUUUCACAUCGAGCUCUCCAGUCAAGGCUCUUUCAUGUGGACAUUUGAUGCACUCAGCAUGCUUUCAGGACUAUACCUACAGUCACUAUACCUGUCCAAUAUGUAGCAAAUCACUUGGAGACAUGCAGGUGUACUUUGGUAUGAUAGAUGCACUACUGGCUGAAGAAAAAAUUCCAGAUGAGUAUUCUGGCCAGACUCAGGUAAUAUUAUGCAAUGAUUGCGAGAAGAGAGCAACUGCUCCAUUUCAUUGGCUUUAUCACAAAUGUUCUCAUUGUGGUUCAUACAACACCAGGGUUGUAUGACUGCAUGCAUAGUAUAUCCAAAUGAUAUUGAUUGCCUUCCUCCCCUGACUCGGACAAAAAUGCAGUUAGUUCACUUAGGGCAAGCAGUUCGUCGCAGUCUCUUCUUGUUCUUUCUAAGAGGGAAACUUUCGAUGCAUCCCUGCUUGUUUUCUUAUGUUGGCUAGAAUAAGGAUUGCCUUACUAUGGACUCAAUAACAGCUGGCCUCCUUUCCUUACCUGGGCUCAACCGGAAUGACAGGACAGUUACCGUACUGUGCUAAUGGAAUGCUUUCUAUCUAACAAACGGGGAAUUCUCUUUCUCGACUUACAACUUACUUUGACAUUCAGGUUACCAUACUCUUUUUUUUUCUAAACUGUUGUAAAAUAGGAAGUUCAACCGAUAGCUUGAGAUGUGCAAGCAUUGACCUAAAGGAUAUUUACCAUCCCUUUAAGGUGCAAAGGGAAUAUAGGUAUUCUCCAUUUGAGUUGGUAUUUGAGCAAAGUGGUAUAAUGCAAAGAUUCUCUUGUCCACAUAUACCACAGCAGAAUGGAGUUGCAGAAAGGAAAUACCUGUUCCAAUCUCUUAAAAGAAUCUAGUUUGGCUUCAUUAUUUCCCAGUAACUGUCCUGAAUAUUUGUAGAUGGAUGUUUUUGUCCACAAAACUCUAAUAAGUCUCCUUCUGAGGAACUAUAAGGAUCUGUCUUGGAUUGCACCUUUUUGCAGGUCUUUGGUUGUGCAUGCUAUCCGGUGCUAUUCACCUCAAAAGUUUGAUCAAGUCCAAUGCGUGUAUUUUUGGGAUACAACAGUCAGGAUAAAGGGUAUUGCUGUCUUGAUCCCUCGUCCAACAAGAAAUGUUUAAGAUGGUUCUGAUAGGAGAAGAAUGAAUGAAAUGGAAGAAGAUUAUAGCAAAAGAAGAAGAGAAAAACUAAAGAAAACUUUUGCCCUCGGUUGCUUUAGCGGUUGCCUAUAAUGCGAUCUACGGGUGUAAGGGCAUGCCAGCCCUCCUUGUUGAGAGACAUGAUCAAUCAGACCUACUUUAUUACGUGGCUGAAACUACCGAACUUUCAGAAUACCAAUCUUCCAGGAUUGGAGUAUAUAGAUGCUGAAA